Molecule: ribosomal RNA, 394 nt
Filed under: Oithona sp.
Lineage: Eukaryota; Metazoa; Arthropoda; Copepoda; Cyclopoida; Oithonidae
Description: partial small subunit ribosomal RNA
Rfam family: Eukaryotic small subunit ribosomal RNA
Source: RNAcentral
AUUCCAGCUCCAAUAGCGUAUAUUAAAGUUGUUGCGGUUAAAAAGCUCGUAGUUGGAUCUCGGCGGGCAGGGGGUGGUUCGCUCUUCAGCGCUACUGCCCCGCUUUGCCCGUGUGAUUGGCGGAGGUUUCGGGGUGCUCUUCGUUGAGUGACUCGGAGCGCCGUCAGGUUUACUUUGAAAAAAUUAGAGUGCUCAAAGCAGGCUUUUCACGCUUGAAUAUUCGUGCAUGGAAUAAUGGAAUAGGAACUCGUUUCUAUUUUGUUGGUUUUCGGAAAUCGAGUUAAUGAUUAACAGGGACAAUUGGGGGCAUUAGUAUUCAGACGACAGAGGUGAAAUUCUUGGACCGUCUGAAGACUGACUACUGCGAAAGCAUUUGCCAAGAGUGGUUUCAUUA